RNAcentral lists this long non-coding RNA (192 nucleotides) under Penaeus monodon (black tiger shrimp). RNAcentral describes it as "uncharacterized LOC119581066, transcript variant X1". The record is from RNAcentral. Lineage: Eukaryota; Metazoa; Arthropoda; Malacostraca; Decapoda; Penaeidae.
CAUUAGUCGAUGAAGGUUUAAAAAUGCCUUAUUUGGAGAUUGCAACAAACAUUCCUAGAGACAGAGUGACUCCGGAGAUUGUUUCAACCCUUAGUAAAACUCUUAGUGAAACCAUUGGGAAGCCAGAACAGUAUUGUGUUGUUUAGAGUACUUCCAGAUCGCCAUGAGUUUUGGAGGCAACUUUGAUCCUUG